UACGUAGGGGGCGAGCGUUGUCCGGAAUGAUUGGGCGUAAAGGGCGCGUAGGCGGCUUUCUAAGUCUGAAGUGAAAGUCCUGUCUUCAAGAUGGGAAUUGCUUUGGAUACUGGGAGGCUUGAGUGCAGGUGAGGUAAGUGGAAUUCCCAGUGUAGCGGUGAAAUGCGUAGAGAUUGGGAGGAACACCAGUGGCGAAGGCGACUUACUGGACUGUAACUGACGCUGAGGCGCGAAAGUGUGGGGAGCAAAC
This 250-nucleotide ribosomal RNA is filed under the name uncultured prokaryote. RNAcentral describes it as "partial 16S ribosomal RNA". It matches the Rfam family "Bacterial small subunit ribosomal RNA", at positions 524 to 773 of the family's 1533-position model. The record is from RNAcentral.